CAACAUCGAUUUCAGUCUUGAGA
RNAcentral lists this non-coding RNA (23 nucleotides) under Arabidopsis thaliana (thale cress). The record is from RNAcentral. Lineage: Eukaryota; Viridiplantae; Streptophyta; Magnoliopsida; Brassicales; Brassicaceae.